ACUUACUUAGUUCCUUAGUCAAACUUACUUUCUUAAAAAAAAAAUCUCUACAUUGACACCUCAUAAUCUACUUAGAAAAUUAGAUAUUUAAUUAUAAAAUCUAAAAAAUAAAAUAAAUCAAUUUACUCUUAACUAACUAUCAAAUCUGGACAUCUUUUCUUCUUGCAUUGCAUAAUUCCAUAAAACAUUUUAAGGGUACAAACUCUAAACAAAAUAAUGUAGAGAUUUCAUCACCCUUCCUUGGCCCACAAACCACCAUCCUGCAUAUUGCAUUGACCUAAACCUUAACUUAAAAUCAAUUAGACGUUGGCCCC
Molecule: long non-coding RNA, 314 nt
Filed under: Elaeis guineensis (African oil palm)
Lineage: Eukaryota; Viridiplantae; Streptophyta; Magnoliopsida; Arecales; Arecaceae
Description: long non-coding RNA (EGUI_LNC060565)
Source: RNAcentral